RNAcentral lists this long non-coding RNA (217 nucleotides) under Nicotiana benthamiana. RNAcentral describes it as "long non-coding RNA (NBEN_LNC023173)". Lineage: Eukaryota; Viridiplantae; Streptophyta; Magnoliopsida; Solanales; Solanaceae. The record is from RNAcentral.
CAACCUAGCGAACGCCACCUUCUUCACCUCCACUUUUCCUUUAACUACAUCGUUCCACCACCAAUCACCCUGAUUUCUGCCUGAAUAUCCCUUGGCUACCCCGAGCACGUCCCGUGCUACCCCCUAACCAAGUUCGCUGUCACUGACCACAUAGCGUCCGCUUCCCCAGAACUUCUCCAAGCUCCGCCCUCAACUAACCUCCUUUCCAACUCCUGAG